GGCCAGUUAGCUCAGUUGGUUAGAGUGUGGUGCUGAUAACACCAAGGUUGCGGGUUCGAUUCCAGUUCUGUCCA
Molecule: transfer RNA, 74 nt
Filed under: Apaloderma vittatum (bar-tailed trogon)
Lineage: Eukaryota; Metazoa; Chordata; Aves; Trogoniformes; Trogonidae
Rfam family: tRNA
About the family: Transfer RNA (tRNA) molecules are approximately 80 nucleotides in length.
Source: Rfam by way of RNAcentral